GACGAACGCUGGCGGCGUGCUUAACACAUGCAAGUCGAACGGAAAGGCCCCUUUGGGGGUACUCGAGUGGCGAACGGGUGAGUAACACGUGAGUAACCUGCCCUUGACUUCGGGAUAACUUCAGGAAACUGGGGCUAAUACCGGAUAGGAAUCCUUGCUGCAUGGUGGGGGUUGGAAAGCUUCGGCGGUUUUGGAUGGACUCGCGGCUUAUCAGCUUGUUGGUGGGGUAGUGGCUUACCAAGGCUUUGACGGGUAGCCGGCCUGAGAGGGCGACCGGCCACAUUGGGACUGAGAGACGGCCCAGACUCCUACGGGAGGCAGCAGUGGGGAAUAUUGCACAAUGGGCGGAAGCCUGAUGCAGCAAGGCCGCGGGCGGGAUGACGGCCUUCGGGUUGAAGACCGCUUUCAGCAGGGGCGAAGCUUGUGGUGACGGUACCUGCAGAAGAAGCACCGGCUAACUACGUG
Molecule: ribosomal RNA, 465 nt
Filed under: uncultured bacterium
Lineage: Bacteria
Description: partial 16S ribosomal RNA
Rfam family: Bacterial small subunit ribosomal RNA
Source: RNAcentral